GGAGGAAAAGAAACCAACAGGGAUUGCCUUAGUAGCGGCGAGUGAAGCGGCAAUAGCUCAAAUUUGAAAUCUGGCACCUUCGGUGUCCGAGUUGUAAUUUGAAGAAGGUAUCUUUGGUUUUGGCUCUUGUCUAUGUUCCUUGGAACAGGACGUCACAGAGGGUGAGAAUCCCGUGCGAUGAGAUGCCCAAUUCCAUGUAAAGUUCCUUCGACGAGUCGAGUUGUUUGGGAAUGCAGCUCUAAGUGGGUGGUAAAUUCCAUCUAAAGCUAAAUAUUGGCGAGAGACCGAUAGCGAACAAGUACUGUGAAGGAAAGAUGAAAAGAACUUUGAAAAGAGAGUGAAAAAGUACGUGAAAUUGUUGAAAGGGAAGGGCUUGAGAUUAGACUUGGAAUUUUCCAUUUAUGGAGCUUUCCGGGCCAGCAUCAGUUUGGAUGGCAGGAUAAUUGCGUUGGAAAGUAGCACCACUUCGGUGGUGUGUUAUAGACUUCGUCGAUACUGCCUAUCUAGACUGAGGACCGCGUCUUUGACUAGGAUGCUGGCGUAAUGAUCUUAAGCCGCCCGUCUUGAA
This 568-nucleotide ribosomal RNA is filed under the name Yamadazyma membranifaciens. RNAcentral describes it as "[Candida] membranifaciens partial large subunit ribosomal RNA". It matches the Rfam family "Eukaryotic large subunit ribosomal RNA", at positions 52 to 658 of the family's 3401-position model. Lineage: Eukaryota; Fungi; Ascomycota; Pichiomycetes; Serinales; Debaryomycetaceae. The record is from RNAcentral.